RNAcentral lists this ribosomal RNA (254 nucleotides) under uncultured bacterium. Its description in RNAcentral is "partial 16S ribosomal RNA". It matches the Rfam family "Bacterial small subunit ribosomal RNA", at positions 524 to 776 of the family's 1533-position model. The record is from RNAcentral.
UACGUAGGGGGCGAGCGUUGUCCGGAUUUAUUGGGCGUAAAGAGCUCGUAGGCGGUUUGGCAAGUCGGGUGUGAAAACUCCGGGCUCAACUCGGAGACGCCACUCGAUACUGCCAUGACUCGAGUCCGGUAGGGGAGUGCGGAAUUCCUGGUGUAGCGGUGAAAUGCGCAGAUAUCAGGAGGAACACCGGUGGCGAAGGCGGGUUGCUGGGCCAACACUGACGCUGAGGCGCGAAAGCCAGGGGAGCAAACGGG